RNAcentral lists this long non-coding RNA (9635 nucleotides) under Pongo abelii (Sumatran orangutan). Its description in RNAcentral is "lincRNA". The record is from RNAcentral. Lineage: Eukaryota; Metazoa; Chordata; Mammalia; Primates; Hominidae.
CUAUGAGUCUGGCAGGAAGCUGAACAGUUUUACAAAUUAGGCAAUCAAGACUCAGGAGUUAAGUGACUUGGACUGAAUUGGCUCAAUUUCUUCAAAUAGAGAGAGUACAAAGAACCCUGGUCAAUCUUACUACUGUCCUUGAAAGAAUGUUUUUUCCUAAUUCAGCAAGGCAAAACUGUUAGCAAAAGUGUUCUUCAACAAGGGAUUUGUGAUUGCAUGUUAAAAAGCUUUCUCUGAGGUACUUAUCACUUAAGUAACAAUGACCUGAUUCAUUUUUGUUUUUGUGGGGAAUUGUUAACAGUAAGGAAAUCAUGGUUCUUCACUGUUUUAGUGAGAUAGGUGAAUUUUGGAAUUGUGUACCAACCGAGCUAAGGCAAAGGUCUACAGUAAAACUGUUAGAAUUCUUUUUUUUUUUAAAUAUGAAUAGAAAAUGCAGAAAAUAAGUAAAUAAAAUCUACGGACCAGUUGCAUGCAGAGUGAGUUUGAAUGUGUCGUGUAUGAUGCUGAGUUACUGAUGUGACUGAGCACAUGUGACUUUGUGGGCUCACCCCACAGGACUUGGUAUUCUCUGCUGGGUUCACACUAUCUCUAAUUAGGGAACAUUUAAGCUUAUGUUUACUGUGUUAGAGAACAUCGACUUAAAUCUACCCUGUUAACAAAUAGAGUUUCUCAGGUUGUUUUGUUGCUUUGCUCUGCUGAAGUUUGAUUUAGACCAUUUCUAAUUAAAUUAAACGUGAAUGAGAGAAGACUGUUAGAAGAGGUAAACAUUCUCAGUUCUUCCAGAAUCCUUCCUAAAAAGUAACUGAACCACCCUUUCCCUGGGGUUUAGCAGAGAUAGUGAGUUGCCACAUGGAAGGCAGGGGCCAUGGUUUGUUGACAAUAUUUAUUUCCAGAACCUCAAUGAGGACAAAGCUUAUAAAAAGCAUUCAGUACACACUGGCUGAAUAAACCAAUGAGCUGUAGUCUGGGAGCCUUCCCGGGACAGACUCUCUGGACUCUAGUAAAAUGGAGAGCUUCCUUGGAGGUCCCCACACACUUAUCUUGACAGUGACCUUAUUGGUUUGUAAUGAAUUGUUGAUGUUUCUUUCCCACUAGAAAAUUAUCUCCCAGAAGUUAUUUUCUGUCAGCUGUGAAUCUCUAUAAUCUGUGAACACACACACACACACACACACACACACACACACAUAUUAAUUGAAUUGUAGAGGUUUUUAAUGUCUAGACUUCUUAUACUAAGAGGGUACCAUAGACAGCAUACAGGCAUGAAACGAUUAACUCAAAAGCAAAAAUAUUAUUAAGACAGAACUGAGACGAGGGUUCCAGUAUCUUGAGAGUCUCCCCUGGUCAGUGUUUCUUGUCUCCUUCACCUAUGCACCCAUCUGACAAUUUAAAAAACUAAAGCUUGGAGAUUCAUGUUGGCAAUUUUUUAUUAUUAGUGUACGUGGUAUAUAUAGCUUUUCCGCAAUUUGGUUGGUGAUAUGUUUUGCUAGCUUCCCAGAAACUAGCACCCUUCACCAAAGUGGGGGCUGUCUUAAGGUGUGCCCCCUUGCCUUGGGAUAAAGCUAUAGGCUAUGGAAUCACACAAGCCCGUGUUUGUAUUUUUUUUCAUUUUAAUUUUUAAACACUUGCAUAAAAUUAAGGGGUAAAGUGCAGUUUGGCUUCAAGGAUCUAUUGCUUUAGGGGAAGUCUGGGCUUUUAGAGUAACCAUCACUUGAAUAAUGUACAUUGUACCCAUUAAGUAAUUUCUCAUCCCUCAACCCCUCCCACCCUCCCACCCUUCUGAGUCUCCAGUGUGAUUGUUCCACGCUCUACGUCCACAUGCAUACAUUAUUUAGCUCCCCCUUAUAAAUGAGAACAUGCAGUGUUGGAUUUUCAGAAAGCCUUUCUGAGCCUUGGUUUUCUCAUCUGUGUAACUGGGAUUUGAAUGCCUUCCUGAGGGACUCUCAACCCUAGCUUAACCCCUCUCCUCUCCUCCCUCCCUGCACUAAUGCCUGUGGCUCUCUUCUGUCUGCUAGGGCGGGAUCAAAAGUUAAAAAUAUCAGCAUAUUUCAACCUUAUUUCAGUUUUCUUGAUGUUGUUUUCGAAACUUGAGUGUUACUCCUCCCUUACCACAGCUAGGUUAUUGUGUUCCUUCACAGUGCUUUUAGUGUUUUUUUUUUUUCCUGUGUCAUUAUGUUCUGUGUUAGUCUGCCCCGUCUGCCCCACAAGACUCUAGGCUUUAUGAUGAUUAGAGACUUUUUCUGCUUUAUUUAUGCAUGCCUAACAAUCAGUUUUGAAUCUUGCACAAAUGUUGAGUGCACGGUUAAUGAGGGAAUAUGUAGUGUUUGGGUUAAAAGGCAUGAGCUCCACAGCAAGCCUGAGCAUGGAGUCAGUGAGCUGAGGUGAAUGGGACCAUCUCCAGUUUCAAGAUGAUCUUAUCGGGAUCAAACUGAUGUAAAAAAUCUUAUUUUGUACUCCAAUAAAAGUUUAAAAAUGAAAAAAAAAUCAUAUAAUUGAAAUUAAAUGAGCUUUUUUUUUGUUUUCUGUGGUUCAUAACAAAAUACUUGAAACUGGGCAGUUUAUAAAGAAAAGGAAUUUAUUUCUUACAGUUAUGGACGUUGAAAAGUCCAAGGUUGAAGGGCCUUCUUGCAGGUAGGGACUCUCUGCAGAGUCCAGAGGUGACACAGGGCAUCACACGGUGAGGGGGCUGAGCAUGUUAGCUUAGUUCUCUCUUCCUCUUCUUAUGAAGCCACUGGUCCCAUGCCAUUAAAACCCAUUAAACCAUUAACCCAGGAAUUAAGUUUCAACAUGAGUUUUAGAGGCGACAAAUAUUCAAAUCAUAGCAUGAGCCCUACAACAAGGCCACUGUGUCACCCAGGUUAGUAACCAAUAAAACAUACAUUUUUCAUUAGUGUCUCUCGGUUGCUGAAGUAUGAGGACCCUGCCUGAUGGCUUUCAUCUAUAUUAUUGGUGGUCGGGAUGAUAUUAUUUUAUAUGUCCUAAACAGCACCAAAUAAAGAUCUCUAUAAUGUCCUUAAAUUUUUUUUAAUUUAGCUUUUAAAGUUAUUUGAGGUUUGUGGAUUUUGCUGUUUAUCUCACAAAAUAACUCUGUUUCAGUUACUGUGUCUUGAACUUACUAUUUUCACCAGUUUAAAUGUGUUGUGGGAAUACUGGAUGGAAUUCAGCAUAUGUAAGUUCUAGGCCCAUUUUUCUUUUUUAGCAAAUAAGCUUUGCCAUUAUAGUUACAUUUACAUUGCUUAUGCCCUCAAGGCCUAAGUCUUUUUUGUGUAGUGAAUAGGAACACACACACACACACACAGACACACACAUUUAUCAAAAUUUGAUAGUAUAUAAUUAAUUUAGUAUUAUCAACUUGGGAAUUACUGAAUUCUUUUUCUGUGCAUAAAGAUUAUCAAAGAGCAGCAUCUACUGCCUUAGAAUUUUCACAUCUAGCAUUCUUUCUUUAUAUUGUUAAAAUAAUUUGAAUAAUGAUCUAAAUUGGAUAUAAAUUCAGGUAAUUAUUGUCAUCAUUUUGUAUAAGUACUGUCAUAUCUGGUACUAGUUGUCUCUGACAGCAAAAUAAAACAUGAUGAUCAAUAUUUCGGAUUGAUUUUUUUCUGCUGGGAUGGUGUGAGCAUACACUGAUUAGAGCUGAUUUUUGCUGCUGAUCAGUCUCUAUGAGGCAAAAUUUCAAUAACUGUUUUGUUUUUAGGUGACUUUCUUCUCUGAUGUCCAGACCGAUUUGCAGAUUGCAAAGAUCCACUCUUAUAAUAGAAAGAGAUGCCAUUAGAUUAGAAAAAAAGCCACUUAUAACAGGAAUUACGUGCUAACACAGUGGUUCACCUUAAUGUUCUCUCUUUAUAAUGCCCCCUUUCAAGAUGUGCAUAAUUGAUAUUGCCAUAAGCACUCUCCUAUUCUUUUUGCACAGCUAAAAGAAUAGAGUGGAUUAGAAUACAGAAUAAAGUCUCAGGAUUGCACAACAGAAUUAAUCCUGUUCUAUGUCAUAAAAUAUUGCAUUCAUUAGAAAUGAAUAUUUUCGUUGCAAAUGAACUGAGACAGGCAGGUAGACGGAGUGAUUCCUUUUAUUUUGUUUCUCUUAGAAGGAAUGAUUCCAACAGCUGGUAAAAACACAACUAAGGUUUGGCAUGUGCCAAUCAGCUGUUUCACAAUAUAUUUUUUUAGAGGAAAACACACACACACACACACACACACACAUAUAUAUAUCUCACAAAGUAACCCUUUUCUCUUGUGGCAGUAUCUUCUUAGGUCCCAUUCAUUUUUACAACCCACAUGUAUUCUUAGCACCCUGUGAUACUUGCUGCCAGAGUGAACAUAUUUUCCCAGCCACAACCUGAUUGCAUGUUCUGGAUUAUACUCAUAUUUUCUAGAAAUAGUUUAAGGAUUGAGUUCAAUAAUGGUGCUCCCAAGGUGGGUGCCAUCUGAAAUCUAACACAUAAUAUUUACCUGCGGUGAUGAUCAAGAACCUCUCUUGAAAGAAUUAGGCCCUUAUGGAUAUUUUAGAGCAAUGUUUAGAUUUUUUAAAUAACAAAAAUGAUAAUGAGAAUGUUGAUGGAUUCUGCUUGUUGAGUGCUUUUUGUGUUUAUAAAUUUCCAUGAGAAAGGUGUUAAUGUGUCCAUUUUAUGAAUUAGUCAUCUGACACUCAGAACACCUAAAUAACUUGCUGGAGCUCACACAGCUGGGUGAGCGAUGGAGCCAGAAUUUGACCUCAGCACUGCCUGAUUAUGAAGCUGUGUGUUCUGUCUGCUUUCAGCUGCUGCCUCUUAUUUCCAGUUCCAAGGUCAGUCUAAAACAGUCCUCCCAAACACCCACAUAUGUUGAAUACUUGUGCUGAAGGCAGGUGGUGCCACGGGCUUUUCAGGGUGAGUGGUUUAUUUUUCAAGAAGCACAGAGAAUUAAUUCAUUAAGUGGAACUUGAGAGGCUACUCAAAUAUCUGAGCUGCUGAGAAGUUCAACCUUUUUAAUUAUCUGGAGUGAGACUUCCCACAAUGUUAAACCUUCAGAAUGGUGCCAAACUCAGAAGCUCCUCUGCAGUGAUUCUGAAUUGACAGAAUAGAGUCAAAUAGCCGAGAUGAAGUCAAGAUCUGAACAUUCCAACCAGCAUGUUGCAGUGGUUCUGCCACACAGCAAAAAGGAGAAGUGGGCUUUUGUUGCUAGUGAAGAGAUAAUGACCAAUUAAAAAAAUAAAACUGAGCAAAGAGAGACAAAGAAGGAAAUGAGACAGGGAGAAAGAGAGAGAAUGUAGAGAUGAGCAUAAAAAUUGCAGAGAAAGUGAGUAAAUAGUAGUGUCAGAAAAGAUAAAAAAAGGUGAAAUAUUUUGUGUAAGGGAUGACAACAGGGUGUCAAGUGACAGCUAUUCUAAGAGCACAAAAGAAAUCUGAGACUAAAGAAAGAAAUCAUUUUUGUGAUUAAGAGAAGGAUUAGGAAACAAAAAACAAUAUAAUUAUUGCAGAUAAUAUUACUAAGUAUUUUCAUUACACAUAUGAAGUACUUCUGCGUGUGAUAUUUCAUUUAAUCCCCUCACAAUAUUGCUGUGUAAUUGUUCAAGUGGAUAUUUCAGAUUUUCUUUUAGAAAUAUGGAAACUUAGUGUUUGAUUUGUCUAGUUUCUAAAAUAAGUGGUAGAAUUGAAACAAGAAAAUGUUUUUUUUUUCCACUGUGUGCUGCUAGACAUCAUUGUGUAAUGUUAAAAGUACAUCUGCCAUAACAUGGCUUUACCAUGUAUGCUUGGGGGCAUUUAAUUACUGGGCUAGUCUGGUCUUCGUUUGAAAUACCCCUAGGGGAUAGCGACAUGUAAAAAGUACAGCACUGAGUGUAUUUCAACUAUUGCAUUUUACUAACCUGAGAUUGUCAGGGUGCUUUUAUUAUAAAAUGGAGAUCAAGUAUGGAAAAAAGGUAUUACUUCUGUUACUACCACUUUGGUGGUUAUAGAAUGUGAUGAACUGAAACAUCAGGACCUGUGGAUUUUGCAAUAGAGACAAGGCCAAACUGGCUCACCUGCAGAAUAAACAAAGGGUAAUGUCUAUAAAGAGAAUUGUGAAUAACGGUGCUUAUCUGUUGUUCCUAUCUACCCAGGAUCUCUUUUCUCAUCUUCUUGGUUGUGAAUACAUUAGGUGGGGUUGACUCAUCUCCCCUUCUCUAUCCAACAUAGAUUGGCAUAUGCUUUGCACUGGGCCAGUGUUCUCCUUGGCUACUUUCUGCCAGAGUACAUGGAAAAAACAGGUAUUGCUCAGUUGUAUAUGGGUCUGGGGUUGCCACUUACCAUUUUAUCCAUGUCAUGGUGGGAGCCUGAUGGAAAACCCAGGAUAGCUGGAACCCUUGGCCCCACUGAUUGAGCCUCCAGAAAAUAGAAUCACCUGAAUCCUUGGACUUGCCGUUUGGGUUAACAAAUCAAUCCUCAAGCUAGUAUAAGUUGAGAUUAGGUCACUGUAAAUCAGUCAAAUACAAAUGCAGGGAGCUGGUGCAUCAUAAUAAUAACCAACACUUAUUGAAUGUAUGCUAUGCUAGUAAGCAUUCUUUAAUCAUUUCAUUCUCGCAGCAAACCUGUGAUGUGCAUGUCAUUACUGUCUCCAUUUUACAGGAAGAAACAGAGACAGACUGGUUAGAUGACUUGUUAAAGAUCAGAGAUAGGAAGAAGCAGAGCUGGGAUUUGAACUAGGAAGUCUAGCUGUAUUCUGUGAACUCUAGUCAUUCUCUAUCUCUCUUUGUGUAUAUCCCCUUGCCAUAUAUGUGUAAAUAUCUUUAUCUUUCUAUAUCUGUAUCUAUAUCUGUCUAUAUGUUAUCUCUCUGAAAUAUGCAAAUUCUUGGCAAGAAUUGAAUUUAUGUUACAAGUUAGAACAUUAAUGUUGGUUCUGUGCAUGGAAAUUAGUAUCUCAAAUUUCAUCCCAGUGCGGUGCACAAGAUAGAAAUUACUAUUAGAGCUUAAAAAGAAACUAUAGAUCUAUGAGUGUUUUGAAAAGAGCACAAUAGGAAAAUUAAAAUAAGUAAGUAUAAUAUUGAAGCAUCCAUAUUAUAUGACAUUAAGUCUCAGUAAGAGACUGAGUUAGCUGAUCAAAUCUUUUAGCAGCAAAAACAAAACAAAACAAACAAAAAAACAGAGGCAAUCAUGUAUAAGCACUAGGGCAUAUUUAAUAUGACUGUUAUUGAGGAGAAGACUGCAGUAGGGAAGAAUCUUUGAACAGAUACUUACUAAAAACUAAAAUAUUUUGUGAGUCAGAUCAUUUAGCCAAUCCAGCUACUAAGACAUUUCAAAGUUGGAUGAGUUAUCACAAAGCUAGAAGACAAAAAACACUGUACUGGGGAAGCUGUCUAAUUUAGUUAAUCCAGUUAACUAACUUAGGCAGUUAGUGAGUCCGGUGCCAAGAUACAUGUCGAAUAGAAAGGGUUAACUUUUUCACCCUGCAUCACUGAUAUAAGGUGCUCUGAAAAGUAAAUUUUAUUACUAAGAAGUGUCAAGGUCCUAUGUAACUUCCUUUUAGAAGACAAAAAGCAAGAAAAGUAGGUAAACACUUAAAAUCUGCUCUUAUACUUUUGGAAAAAAGAAUUUUCUAAGAAUCACGGUUAUGAUUUAGGACAGGGGUAAGCAAAUGGGCCAAAUCUGGCCCACCACUUGUUCUUGUAAGGCCUGUAUACUUGGAACGAUUUUUAUGUUUAUAAAUGGUUGAUAAAAGUUACAAGAAUAAUAAUAUUGUUACUUGUAAAACUUACAUGAAAUUUAAAUUUUAAUGUCCAUACAUAAGUUUUAUUGGAAUAUAGCCACACUAAUUUCCAUAGUGUCUAUGACUGCUUUUGUGCUAUGCCAGCAGAGUUGAGUAAUUGUGAUAAAGAUUGUAUAACCCGCAAAGCCUAAAACAUGUACUGCUCCUUUACUGAAGCAAUUUGCCAACCCUCUAUUUGGAUAAUAGGGCAAUGGUAUUGGGAGGUACUUGAAAUGUUGUAAGUAGGAAGCAGAGUUAGUGCCUAGAAACAAACAAAGCGACAAAUAAGUAAGUAUAUGUGGGUAGGUUUUAAACAUCCUUCCUAUUUUCUUGAUAUUGCUUCCUGAAUUAAAACCAUAAAUCAAAAUUGCAUCCAAAUAUGCAGUACAGUUUUAGAACUUCUUUUUUUGUGACAAGUUUACACAAACCUUCUUUGGGAGGUAAUGUAGUGGGUUAUCAAUUUCAGUAUAACAUAGAACACAUGUAUUUAAUAAUAGAAUGACUUCAUGAACACUGUGUCCUGUGGAAAUAUGUAGUCUCAUAAAGAUAAAGCAGGGAUACAUUUGGGUUUUGGAAUGAGGUUUUCUUAAAAUACCCAUGUAAAUUCUGAAAACCUAGGCAUUCUUGGACUUCAUUCACCUCAUCAAUGGACUUGGAAAAGGAAGCAGGAUUCAAAAAAUGGAGGUCAGCUAGCAGAAAGAUUAUGAUCCCCAUUCACCAUGGUACUGCAAUCUAGAAAUUGCAGUUCUGGUGUGGACAUAGGAGAGGCAAAGAAAAGAGUGCUAAAAAAGGGCCAAGAAAUUCCAUAUUUUGGAGUUGACUGUCAGAUUGUUGUGCUUAUGCUGUUUGUCUGUUUAUAAUUACCAACCAGCUUUUUUUCCUAUCUCUACAUUUAUAAAUAAAUCUCUACAUUUAUAACCCAUGUGUUAUAUUUAUUUAAAAACAUUUGAAGCAUAUAAUGUAUACAAAAUGUAUAUCUCACUAUGCAGGCUGAAGAAUGAUAAUUUUUCCAUGUACCCAUCUUUAAUCUCUCAAACACUAUGUCCUCUGUGUUCUUAGGAAAUACUUUUCCUAUUUUCUAUUCUAAUUGCUUGUGUAUAGGUGUCCUAAAUUCUUCUGAAAUACGGUGAGUUUCUUCAAUGCAUGAUUCUUGACUCAUUCAUGUUUGGUUCCCAUUACCUUCAACAUGUAAGGAUUUAAAUAAAUAUGUGUAGAGUCAGUGAGUGAGUGAAUGCAUUGCAAGCUCUCUGUGGUGAGAACUCAUUUAUUAUCGGACUAUUCCUUGCAGUUACUAUGCUUAGGGGCAAUUAGCAAAUGUUGGAAUUGAAUGCAUUGAAAGGCCUGUUAUUCUAUCUAGGCACCUCUUGAAUGUUUGUGCACAGGCACUGUGCUGUGUUAUGUGUUGUUCAUUCAUUUUCAUGAAAGUAAUAAAACAUAAAACUUAUUGAGGAGUUUGAGAUUACCCUGUCUGUUCAUUGAAGACCUCAUAUUGUCAUAUUAAUUGCAAUUGUAAUUGCCACAUUCUUUCUUUCUCUUUCCAACUAUUUCUGGUAGUCAUGUCAAGUUGAGUUUAUAUGCUAGGUUUGAUGAAGAGGCAGCAUGGAGUGUGAUUGGAAAAAUGGAGUGUGAUGUAAUGGAAAUAAACUGGGGAGAACUUAGCAGGGCCAGUUGGUUCAGAUUCUCCUCUGUAUCUUGUUUCUUCAGAGAUAGGAUUUUGCUUUCUUCUGGGAAUAUGGAAGCCACUCUGGAAUGAGGGUCUUUUAUGACCCGCUUCAAGGGAAGUUCAGAAAAGUCCUUCCUGGAUUUUAGGACCAAAUUUGAGGGGAAGGUGAGAAUGACCUUCCUGCUUCUGCUAUAGUCUCCAAUGGCAAGGUGCCAUAUUUUGGGAGUAACAUGUCUUAAACCCCAUCAGACUGUAUUAUCUAAUCCUUGGUUUCCUCAUCUGC